CUGAUCCGCGAUUACUAGCGAUUCCAACUUCACGCAGUCGAGUUGCAGACUGCGAUCCGGACUACGAUGCACUUUCUGGGAUUAGCUCCCCCUCGCGGGUUGGCGGCCCUCUGUAUGCACCAUUGUAUGACGUGUGAAGCCCUACCCAUAAGGGCCAUGAGGACUUGACGUCAUCCCCACCUUCCUCCGGUUUGUCACCGGCAGUCUCAUUAGAGUGCCCUUUCGUAGCAACUAAUGACAAGGGUUGCGCUCGUUGCGGGACUUAACCCAACAUCUCACGACACGAGCUGACGACAGCCAUGCAGCACCUGUGUUCAGGCUCCCUUUCGGGCACCCUCCAAUCUCUCGGAGGUUCCUGACAUGUCAAGGGUAGGUAAGGUUUUUCGCGUUGCAUCGAAUUAAUCCACAUCAUCCACCGCUUGUGCGGGUCCCCGUCAAUUCCUUUGAGUUUUAAUCUUGCGACCGUACUCCCCAGGCGGUCUACUUCACGCGUUAGCUGCGUUACCAAGUCAAUUAAGACCCGACAACUAGUAGACAUCGUUUAGGGCGUGGACUACCAGGGUAUCUAAUCCUGUUUGCUCCCCACGCUUUCGUGCAUGAGCGUCAAUCUUGACCCAGGGGGCUGCCUUCGCCAUCGGUGUUCCUCCACAUCUCUACGCAUUUCACUGCUACACGUGGAAUUCUACCCCCCUCUGCCAGAUUCAAGCCUUGCAGUCUCCAACGCAAUUCCCAGGUUGAGCCCGGGGCUUUCACGUCAGACUUACAAAACCGCCUGCGCACGCUUUACGCCCAGUAAUUCCGAUUAACGCUUGCACCCUACGUAUUACCGCGGCUGCUGGCACGUAGUUAGCCGGUGCUUAUUCUUCAGGUACCGUCAUUAGCCGAGGAUAUUAGCCCCAACCGUUUCUUCCCUGACAAAAGAGCUUUACAACCCGAAGGCCUUCUUCACUCACGCGGCAUUGCUGGAUCAGGCUUGCGCCCAUUGUCCAAAAUUCCCCACUGCUGCCUCCCGUAGGAGUCUGGACCGUGUCUCAGUUCCAGUGUGGCUGGGCGUCCUCUCAGACCAGCUACUGAUCGUCGCCUUGGUGAGCCUUUACCCCACCAACUAGCUAAUCAGA
Molecule: ribosomal RNA, 1118 nt
Filed under: Massilia kyonggiensis
Lineage: Bacteria; Pseudomonadati; Pseudomonadota; Betaproteobacteria; Burkholderiales; Oxalobacteraceae
Description: partial 16S ribosomal RNA
Source: RNAcentral